GAUCAGAUAGCUUAACGGUAAAGCUUUAGACUGAAGCUCUAACUACCAUGGUUCGACUCCAUGUCUGAUCA
Non-coding RNA from Alosa alosa (allis shad), 71 nucleotides. The record is from the annotation of a RefSeq genome assembly. Lineage: Eukaryota; Metazoa; Chordata; Actinopteri; Clupeiformes; Clupeidae.